Small nuclear RNA from Oncorhynchus mykiss (rainbow trout), 114 nucleotides. Its record names the gene U5. It matches the Rfam family "U5 spliceosomal RNA". Rfam says of the family: U5 RNA is a component of both types of known spliceosome. The precise function of this molecule is unknown, though it is known that the 5' loop is required for splice site selection and p220 binding, and that both the 3' stem-loop and the Sm site are important for Sm protein binding and cap methylation. Lineage: Eukaryota; Metazoa; Chordata; Actinopteri; Salmoniformes; Salmonidae. The record is from Ensembl.
UGACUCUGGUUUCUCUUCAUUACCACAAGCCUUUCGCCUUUACUAAAGACUUUCCGUGGAGAGGAACACUUACGAGUUCCAAGUAUUUUGGACGCUUUGGCUUCUGGCAGAGCC